AGUUCUUCCGCAUGGUAGAACUAUUAAAGAAUUUCGGUCAUCGAUGGGGAUGCGUUCCAUUAGGUUGUUGGCGGGGUAACGGCCCACCAAGCCUUCGAUGGAUAGGGGUUCUGAGAGGAAGGUCCCCCACAUUGGAACUGAGACACGGUCCAAACUCCUACGGGAGGCAGCAUG
This 174-nucleotide ribosomal RNA is filed under the name uncultured bacterium. Its description in RNAcentral is "partial 16S ribosomal RNA". It matches the Rfam family "Bacterial small subunit ribosomal RNA", at positions 179 to 353 of the family's 1533-position model. The record is from RNAcentral.